Molecule: ribosomal RNA, 253 nt
Filed under: uncultured bacterium
Lineage: Bacteria
Description: partial 16S ribosomal RNA
Rfam family: Bacterial small subunit ribosomal RNA
Source: RNAcentral
UACAGAGGUCUCAAGCGUUGUUCGGAUUCACUGGGCGUAAAGGGUGCGUAGGUGGCGAGGUAAGUCGGAUGUGAAAGCUCGGAGCUCAACUCCGAAAUGGCAUUGGAAACUACCUUGCUCGAGGGUUGGAGGGGGGACUGGAAUUCUCGGUGUAGCAGUGAAAUGCGUAGAUAUCGAGAGGAACACCAGUGGCGAAGGCGAGUCCCUGGACAACUCCUGACACUGAGGCACGAAAGCUAGGGGAGCAAACAGG